UGAGGAAUAUUGGUCAAUGGACGCAAGUCUGAACCAGCCAAGUAGCGUGCAGGAUGACGGCCCUAUGGGUUGUAAACUGCUUUUAUAUGGGGAUAAAGUGGGGAACGUGUUCCCUUUUGCAGGUACCAUAUGAAUAAGGACCGGCUAAUUCCGUGCCAGCAGCCGCGGUAAUACGGAAGGUUCGGGCGUUAUCCGGAUUUACUGGGUGUAAAGGGCGUGCAGGCGGGCUGAUAAGUCAGAUGUGAAAUCCCCGAGCUUAACUCGGGAACUGCAUCUGAUACUGUUGGUCUUGAGUGCUGGAGAGGAUAGUGGAAUUCCUAGUGUAGCGGUAAAAUGCGCAGAUAUUAGGAGGAACACCAGUGGCGAAGGCGGCUAUCUGGACAGUAACUGACGCUGAGGCGCGAAAGCGUGGGUAGCAAACAGG
Molecule: ribosomal RNA, 424 nt
Filed under: Verrucomicrobiota bacterium
Lineage: Bacteria; Pseudomonadati; Verrucomicrobiota
Description: Verrucomicrobia bacterium partial 16S ribosomal RNA
Rfam family: Bacterial small subunit ribosomal RNA
Source: RNAcentral